AUGAAACACUCCUACGGGAGGCAGCAGUGAGGAAUAUUGGUCAAUGGACGGAAGUCUGAACCAGCCAAGUAGCGUGCAGGAUGACGGCCCUCCGGGUUGUAAACUGCUUUUAGUUGGGAAUAAAAAGAGGGACGUGUCCCUAAUUGUAUGUACCUUCAGAAAAAGGACCGGCUAAUUCCGUGCCAGCAGCCGCGGUAAUACGGAAGGUCCAGGCGUUAUCCGGAUUUAUUGGGUUUAAAGGGAGCGUAGGCGGAUUAUUAAGUCAGUGGUGAAAGACGGUGGCUCAACCAUCGUUAGCCAUUGAAACUGGUAGUCUUGAGUGCAGACAGGGAUGCUGGAACUCGUGGUGUAGCGGUGAAAUGCUUAGAUAUCACGAUGAACUCCGAUCGCGAAGGCAGGUGUCCGGGCUGCAACUGACGCUGAGGCUCGAAAGUGUGGGUAUCAAACAGGAUUAGAAACCCUUGUAGUCCGAAGUUC
Molecule: ribosomal RNA, 477 nt
Filed under: uncultured bacterium
Lineage: Bacteria
Description: bacterial SSU rRNA
Rfam family: Bacterial small subunit ribosomal RNA
Source: RNAcentral